This 236-nucleotide unclassified non-coding RNA is filed under the name Calycina ellisii. Its description in RNAcentral is "partial internal transcribed spacer region". The stretch from base 1 to 46 matches the Rfam family "Eukaryotic small subunit ribosomal RNA", at positions 1786 to 1831 of the family's 1831-position model. The record is from RNAcentral. Lineage: Eukaryota; Fungi; Ascomycota; Leotiomycetes; Helotiales; Pezizellaceae. RNAcentral also lists the same sequence under 1 other name.
AAGUCGUAACAAGGUUUCCGUAGGUGAACCUGCGGAAGGAUCAUUACAGAGUUCAUGCCCUUCGGGGUAGACCUCCCACCCUUUGUAUACAUUGCCUUUGUUGCUUUGGCGGGCCGCCUUUUGGCCACCGGCUCCGGCUGGUGCGCGCCCGCCAGAGAACCCCAAACCCUGUCUUACAGUGUCGUCCGAGUACUAUAUAAUAGUUAAAACUUUCAACAACGGAUCUCUUGGUUCUG